CGGGAUGGGCGAACAGAAGUCAGCAGAGGCCGUAGUAGUUGCUCGAAACCGGAGCGAUGAAGGGC
Molecule: unclassified non-coding RNA, 65 nt
Filed under: Ectopseudomonas oleovorans
Lineage: Bacteria; Pseudomonadati; Pseudomonadota; Gammaproteobacteria; Pseudomonadales; Pseudomonadaceae
Source: RNAcentral